Long non-coding RNA from Photinus pyralis (common eastern firefly), 304 nucleotides. RefSeq lists it as uncharacterized. The record is from RefSeq and is a predicted model, not a curated record. NCBI's taxonomy places the organism in Eukaryota, Metazoa, Arthropoda, Insecta, Coleoptera, Lampyridae. The transcript is spliced from 3 exons.
GUUGCAGUUGCUGUUGGUGAUAUUUCCGAAUAUGCCGUUGUUAUUCCACAUGUUGGAUAAUGGCAGUGCAGAAAGAACUCGUUUGUAUUAUUUCGCCGGUACUUCGGUUAGGUGUGCUCCAUAGGAGUUGCUGAUUUAAUAAGGCUAAAGGAUUCCAGAAGGGCAGCCUUAUAAAGGUAGGAUUUUUCUCUUCUAUUGCAUGUUGUAUUAUAUAUUGUGUGUGGGGGGGGGGGGGACAAGUGAAUAGUGCGUACAACGAGUAAAAGGAAGAUCUUGAACAGCUGACCUUCGCAUAUAGUACUAA